This 215-nucleotide ribosomal RNA is filed under the name Campeiostachys nutans. RNAcentral's name for it is "Elymus nutans partial small subunit ribosomal RNA". The stretch from base 39 to 215 matches the Rfam family "Eukaryotic small subunit ribosomal RNA", at positions 686 to 864 of the family's 1831-position model. The record is from RNAcentral. Lineage: Eukaryota; Viridiplantae; Streptophyta; Magnoliopsida; Poales; Poaceae.
GGAUCAAGGAAUCGGUCAUGCCUUGGUAUGUACUGGUCUCACUGAUUCCUCCUUCCUGAUGAGCCGUAAUGCCAUUAAUUUGGUGUUGCGGGGAAUUUGGACUGUUACUUUGAAAAAAUUAGAGUGUUUAAAGCAAGCUUACGCUUGAAUACAUUAGCAUGGAAUAAUGAAAUAGGACGUUCGAUCCUAUUUUGUUGGUUUCUAGGAUCACCGUA